RNAcentral lists this long non-coding RNA (450 nucleotides) under Homo sapiens (human). Its description in RNAcentral is "LNC_000362". The record is from RNAcentral. Lineage: Eukaryota; Metazoa; Chordata; Mammalia; Primates; Hominidae.
GACGGGGUUUCACCAUGUUGGCCAGACUGUGUUUAACAAAUGUUUUCUAAGCGAGGAUCCCCUUACUGUGAAAAUUAAUGAUUCACCUUAUUGGGUAUAAAUCCUCAAAAAGUGUUUUCAAGCAAGAAAUUGAUAAUAGAAACUUCAUGAAAGUGAAGGAAAGGGGAUUUAUUUCUCAUUAUGUACCCUUUUAUACCUGUAGAAAUUUGUAACUGGCCAUGAUGUAAAGUUUUUAGUAUGACAAGCCCCAACCAGGUACCCAGAGGUACAAAGUGGCUUUUCUAGCCCACUGCUCUUAUACAUGAGCAGGAACCAAGGGUUAGAUAUUGAGGAGAGACUCUAAUAAGAGUAAUAGAGAUAAAACAAACAGGCCACUCUGCCCAGCUAAAUUUUUUUAUUUUUAGUAGAGACAAGGUCUCGCUAAAGAGGCUACCAGCCUCUUGACAAGGC